This 340-nucleotide long non-coding RNA is filed under the name Zonotrichia albicollis (white-throated sparrow). Its description in RNAcentral is "lncRNA (ENSZALG00000000622.1)". Lineage: Eukaryota; Metazoa; Chordata; Aves; Passeriformes; Passerellidae. The record is from RNAcentral.
GUGGUUUUGGGCAGGUUUGGGGGGGUUUUGGGGGGGAUUUUGGGGGUUUUUUGGGAAGGAUUUUGGGGAUGUUUUGGGAAGGAUUUUAGGAAGGAUUCUGGAGGGUUUUGGGGCAGGAUUUUAGGAAGGAUUUUGGGGGUGUUUGGGCAGGAUUUUUGGAGUGUUUUUGGGCAGGAUUUUGGGAUAUUUUGGACAGGAUUUUGAGGGUGUUUUGGGAAGCAUUUUGUAGUGGUUUUGGGCAGGAUUUUGGGGUGUUUCAGACAGAAUUUUGCGAUGUUUUGGGCAGGGUUUUGGGGGUGUUUUGGGUGGGAUUUUGGGCAGAAUUCCGGGGGUGUAUUUG